GAUGAAGAACGCAGCGAAAUGCGACAAGUAAUGUGAAUUGCAGAAUUCCGUGAAUCAUCGAAUCUUUGAACGCACAUUGCGCCCUCUGGUAUUCUGGAGGGCAUGCCUGUCCGAGCGUCAUUGCUAUACCUCAAGCCCGGCUUGUGUGAUGGGCCUCCGUCCUCCUCCCGGGGGACGGGCCCGAAAGGCAGCGGCGGCACCGCGUCCGGUCCUCGAGCGUAUGGGGCUUCGUCACCCGCUCUUGUAGGCCCGGCCGGCGCUUGCCGACACAUCAAUCUUUUUUCCAGGUUGACCUCGGAUCAGGUAGGGAUACCCGCUGAACUUAAGCAUAUCAAUAAGCGGAGGA
Molecule: unclassified non-coding RNA, 346 nt
Filed under: soil metagenome
Description: partial contains 5.8S ribosomal RNA, internal transcribed spacer 2, and large subunit ribosomal RNA
Rfam family: 5.8S ribosomal RNA (bases 1-120)
Source: RNAcentral